UAUAGCUUUGCAAAAUUUAAAUACUUGUAAAAUAACAAACUGUGUAAAAACUGAAAUCAUAAUUAAAAUUAAAAUAAGAGCUAUAUGAGCGAGAGCUCUACAGAUGGUGUGUAAAAGAUAAGUCAUUUGUAUUGGACAAUGCAACAGGGUAGACUUCCACUUAUUUGUUUUUAUAAAGUUGGUCGUUUGGGUCAAAGGUUAGAGCUGUAGCUCCGGGCGAUCUUAUCGGGUCGAUUUUGGCUACAGAGUGCAGGAUUCAGGCGUUGUGAAUACAUGACACAACAGUUGGGAUCCUCCUUUGGGUUCAGGAAAAUUAAUAUUGACAAACUCACUCUGUAUUUUCAAUGGAAUUAUCAAUCUUGCCUCCCAGCAUUUGAACCCUUUUACUUAAUUUCAAUGUUAUUGUAAAUUUAAAACAGAGGGAUUUUGACAGAGGGAUUUUGUGCCGUUCAUAGAGAUUGGUUAAAAAAACUGUGCAUAUUAUGAUAUUAUUUGAGUUAAUACACUGUAACUAUUUUUGCUUGUUCAGUGUAAUGUGCUUAUAAAAAUGUGUUGUGCUAUGCUAUGUUUCUCACUGGCCUUUGCCUAGACACAAGCACUAUAAAAGUUGGGUUGAUUUUCUGUCAACUUCUUUGCAACUUCUUUGCUUCAUCAGGGGCCAUGCUUCUGAGGGACUUUUCAGAAUUUGAGUACCUAAAAAGGCAAAAGUGAACCUAAAAGUUCCAUAACAGUGUAGGUAAACUGAAACCAUAUCCAUGGUCGACAGCUGCUUGUAUGCUUUUCCCCUUUGGUUCAAAUGGCUCUUGAUAUCCUUUGACGUUUCUUUGGUUUUGUCACAGCCAAGAUUGUUAGCUAAGAUAAAUAAUACAAAUAAAAGGAGGCCCGUCGUUUGUUUUAAAGUCUUUGCUGCACUCGAAAAACUGUUUGCUCUUAUGGCACUUCGAUUACAUGAAAUAUUUAUGAUGUUUUAAUGCAGAUUUAUUUUGGAAAGUUAGUUCCACUGUUGAUCUAAACAAGAAGCCUCAAUUUACAUGUGGGCAUCGAUCUCAGGGAAAGACAUUGUAAAGAUGAGAGAAACUCUUGCAAUGAAACGCUAAGCACAGAGUACAUUACUGUUUUGAGAGGAUAAUUCUUAAGCCACUCAAUAAAGCUGUGAAUCAAAUCUUUAUUUUUUGGGGGGAAGGUGUGUACUCUGCAACCUCAUACUAACUUCUUUCGUUUCUCUGUUGCUUGACAAGGCUACCUCACCCUAAUGUUGGGGGGGUGAACAUUUUUUAUUUACAGUAGGUUCUUAGUUUACGUACAUCUCUACCUAUGACAUUUUGUCGUUACACAAUACCUGUAUGUUAAGAAAUACCUGUCUCGACGUGUGCAGUCUACAAUUGAAUUGUCACAGCAACAAUAUUUACUCUUCACGUGUAUUAAAGGUGAAGUAUAUCGUCUUCAAAAUGCUAUCAAGAUUUGAAUGUAGCUUCACUUCCCUACUCCCUCCCUCACCCAAGUGUUUGGCAGGAAGCCACACCCCUCAUCGGUGCGCACACGCAAGUCUCAUGGUUUGUUGACGACGUGCUGUGAUCAUCUUAUAGCAACAACGUUGACUAUUUCUUCAUGUCUCUUCACCGGAGAGACCUGACAGGCUGAGUUUAGAGUAAACAUAGUGUGAUAGACAUUUCUGUGACGUGACCCCUGCUCCAUGUUUUGACGUCCUCCAUGAGACAUCGAGGGAAGGUCUUCUGACUCUUCAGCCCAUGAUCAAUGCAUUGGUGUCUGCCAUAACUGCACUUAUGGACGCCUUGAUCUUGGACGAGGGAGGUUUAUGCCUAGCCAAAGAAAUGUGGAUUGACAUGCGGAGAGCUGAGAACCUUUGUGACCUUGGUGCGAACAACAGACAAUUCUGCCAAUGCUGUCUAUUGCCAAUAUGUAAUGCGGAAAAUCCCCAAGCAUGUUAUACAGGAUGCUGACAAAGUGGACAACGAGGAACCACAGUUCAUAUUUUCAAAGCAUUGCUCCAGUAGAAAUGUGCAUGUUAUAUUACUUUAUAAAUAUUUGUAGAUCCAUUUGCACCUUUUUUUUUUUUAUUUAACUCCAGGAGUGUCUGCGCAUUUACCUCUACCAUUUUGAAAUAGUACAAUUGUUAUGAUUAAAGAACUGAAAAUGAAUGGUUCCUCCUUCACAAUUGCCACUCAGAAAUCAAUGUUACAUUUCGUGACUCCUUCCAGUUCGUAAACAUCAGUGCCAUAUAUAAUGCAUGUUCAUUGAUUGUAUAUUUAAAAGAAAAAUAAAACAAAUUAAAAGUA
This is a long non-coding RNA of Phycodurus eques (leafy seadragon), 2297 nucleotides long. RefSeq lists it as uncharacterized. The record is from RefSeq and is a predicted model, not a curated record. Lineage: Eukaryota; Metazoa; Chordata; Actinopteri; Syngnathiformes; Syngnathidae. The transcript is spliced from 2 exons.